Molecule: long non-coding RNA, 644 nt
Organism: Sapajus apella (tufted capuchin)
Lineage: Eukaryota; Metazoa; Chordata; Mammalia; Primates; Cebidae
Exons: 3
Source: RefSeq, a predicted model, not a curated record
AAGAAUUUCAAAUAUAAUUAUCAUUACUGUUGUAGGUAUACUUAGGUCCAAGAGAAUCUAUGUGAAAUCACAAUCGCUUAGGUUGUCACUUAUAUGGAGGCACAUCGAUGGAAUGCCCAAUUUUAUGGGAAUUCCAUAUCUCUGUCCCAUUAUGGAGCUAGGAAAAAGGACUGGCUGAGAGGUCAGGAGAUCUUAGCUCUGGAAUCACAGAAUCCAGGGAUGAAACACGAUCUUACUUAUCUUGUUAACUGAAUCCUGUGUACAAAAUUCCUAAAAAUAUUCAUCCAUUCUCUUCUUGAAUGCCUCUAAUUAUAGAAAUGCACUCAAUUUAAAAGCAGUCUCUCUGAUACUAGGGCAGGUUCUGAUUGUUAACAAGCUUUUUCUUUUAUUUAGUGGAAAGCAUCUCCUGAUAGCAUCCAAUCAUUGGUCUAGUUCUACCUUUUGGAGCCAAACUAUACCAACUGAAUGUCUACGCCUCUUAACCAUCUUAAUAAUAGCUACCACUUAUAGAGCACUUAUUAUGUGUGAAGAACUACUCUAAAGACUUCACAUAAUUAUUCUCAAGACAACACUACAAGGAAGGUGUAUCAAUAUUAUUUUCAUUUUAUAGACAAGGAAACUGAAGUACAGGAAACUAAUUUUUU